Long non-coding RNA from Hordeum vulgare subsp. vulgare (domesticated barley), 635 nucleotides. RefSeq lists it as uncharacterized. The transcript has 2 exons. NCBI's taxonomy places the organism in Eukaryota, Viridiplantae, Streptophyta, Magnoliopsida, Poales, Poaceae. The record is from RefSeq and is a predicted model, not a curated record.
UGGCGGGUUGGAGAUGGCACCCAUAUCAAAAUCUGGGAGGAUCCGUGGCUUCCUAGAGGCACUACAAGGCGCCCAAUUUCUCACAGAGAUACAGAGGACUGGAUUGCAUGUCAUUUUGAUGCAAAAGGGGAAUUCUCUGUUAAAUCGGCUUACCGUGUGUAUUUAGCGACCGAGCUACUGAAUUCUGGUAGCAAUGAAGGAUGGCCUUCGGUUGGUGAUUCAUGGAAGAAUAAAGUCUGGAGGGAUUUAUGGAAAUUGCAUUGCCCGGCAAAAAUACACCAUUUUCUUUGGAGGUUCGGCCAUAAUAGCCAUCCUUUGCAUAUGAAUAUUGCCAGGAGAGGAGUGGUCCUGGACACAUCUUGUGUUGUCUGUCAUAGGCUCUUUGAGGAUGGUGGUCAUUUAUUUUUCCGAUGCAAGGGUGUUAAACCGCUCUGGCGGGGUCUCCAGAUUGAGGAUAUUCGUUUGCAACUGAUGGAAUGUCAAGGCCCGAUCCAUGUGCUGGAAUGUAUUCUGAAACUCCCGUAUGAGAAGAAGAUGAUGACCGUCGCACUUUUGUGGGCUUGGUGGUCAGAGAGGAACAAAACUAAUCAUAAUGAGUCCAGGCUAUCCACUGGUGAAUUUAUUUUCUUGAUCAA